AGUCGGGUAAGUCAUACACGACCAGCUCCUGCUGAAUCCCCCAGGACCGGAAGGUAGCAAGGGUAAGCGGUUGUAGCGGUGCGAUGUAUCAAGCUUACCCU
This 101-nucleotide signal recognition particle RNA is filed under the name Candidatus Cryptobacteroides intestinipullorum. RNAcentral's name for it is "Bacteroidales small SRP". It matches the Rfam family "Bacteroidales small SRP". Rfam says of the family: The non-coding component of the signal recognition particle in Bacteroides Lineage: Bacteria; Pseudomonadati; Bacteroidota; Bacteroidia; Bacteroidales. The record is from RNAcentral.